GAUGAACGCUGGCGGCGUGCCUAAUACAUGCAAGUCGAGCGAACAGAUGAGGAUCUUGCUCCUCUGACGUUAGCGGCGGACGGGUGAGUAACACGUGGAUAACCUACCUAUAAGACUGGGAUAACUUCGGGAAACCGGAGCUAAUACCGGAUAAUAUAUUGAACCGCAUGGUUCAAUAGUGAAAGACGGUUUUGCUGUCACUUAUAGAUGGAUCCGCGCCGCAUUAGCUAGUUGGUAAGGUAACGGCUUACCAAGGCAACGAUGCGUAGCCGACCUGAGAGGGUGAUCGGCCACACUGGAACUGAGACACGGUCCAGACGCCUACGGGAGGCAGCAGUAGGGAAUGUUCCGCAAUGGGCGAAAGCAUGACGGAGCAACGCCGCGUGAGUGAUGAAGGUCUUCGGAUCGUAAAACUCUGUUAUUAGGGAAGAACAAAUGUGUAAGUAAAUAUGCACGUCGUGACGGUACCUAAUCAGAAAGCCACGGCUAACUACGUG
Molecule: ribosomal RNA, 497 nt
Filed under: uncultured bacterium
Lineage: Bacteria
Description: partial 16S ribosomal RNA
Rfam family: Bacterial small subunit ribosomal RNA
Source: RNAcentral